CGGGGCGUGGCGCAGUGGUAGCGCACCCGCUUUGGGAGCGGGGGGUCGCAGGUUCGAGUCCUGCCGCCCCGACCA
This 75-nucleotide transfer RNA is filed under the name Chloroflexota bacterium. RNAcentral describes it as "Chloroflexi bacterium tRNA-Pro". It matches the Rfam family "tRNA". From Rfam's summary of the family: Transfer RNA (tRNA) molecules are approximately 80 nucleotides in length. Their secondary structure includes four short double-helical elements and three loops (D, anti-codon, and T loops). The record is from RNAcentral. RNAcentral also lists the same sequence under 1 other name. Lineage: Bacteria; Bacillati; Chloroflexota.